RNAcentral lists this transfer RNA (74 nucleotides) under Nephromyces sp. ex Molgula occidentalis. Its description in RNAcentral is "tRNA-Pro". It matches the Rfam family "tRNA". Rfam says of the family: Transfer RNA (tRNA) molecules are approximately 80 nucleotides in length. Their secondary structure includes four short double-helical elements and three loops (D, anti-codon, and T loops). Further hydrogen bonds mediate the characteristic L-shaped molecular structure. tRNAs have two regions of fundamental functional importance: the anti-codon, which is responsible for specific mRNA codon recognition, and the 3' end, to which the tRNAs corresponding amino acid is attached (by aminoacyl-tRNA synthetases). tRNAs cope with the degeneracy of the genetic code in two manners: having more than one tRNA (with a specific anti-codon) for a particular amino acid; and 'wobble' base-pairing, i.e. permitting non-standard base-pairing at the 3rd anti-codon position. The record is from RNAcentral. Lineage: Eukaryota; Apicomplexa; Aconoidasida; Nephromycida.
CGGAAAGUGGCGUAGUUAGGUAGCGUUUUUGCUUUGGGAGCAAAAGGUCAUAGGUUCAAAUCCUAUCUUUCCGA